CUCCACUGCAAUAACAUUGAAGUUAAUAUGCGUUUCUUGGCUCUCUGUUUGGUACUUUUCACUGUCAUGGCUUUAACACUUAGUCAGGCAACUCCGGUAGAAGAAUAUUCUACUUCAUUCCAAGAAAAUCCGGAAAACCCUUUGGAACAACAAGUUGAUCCUGCUGGAAGCUUUUCCAUAUGGUGGGGUUAAUUUAUGGCCUGUGGGGAUAACACGGAAUUUAAAUUCAGUAAAAAUAUUUAAGUAAAUAGAAACUUGCAGGAAUUAAAUGAUGAAGCUUUUACUAUACUAAUCAUUUUAUUCCAUUUGUAACACCUCGAAAUAUUGAUCUGCGACCUCAUAAAAUAUAUAUAUUCUGGAUCGUCUCGACAUUUGAAGUCGGUCUAGCCAUGUAA
Stomoxys calcitrans (stable fly) is the source of this 395-nucleotide long non-coding RNA. RefSeq lists it as uncharacterized. Lineage: Eukaryota; Metazoa; Arthropoda; Insecta; Diptera; Muscidae. The record is from RefSeq and is a predicted model, not a curated record. The transcript is spliced from 2 exons.